UAGUGGGGUCCGCUCAAAUUCUCGCCAAAUCUAUAUUAUAUUUUUCCAUUGUCAAUACAUAAGGUGUUGAUGCCUAUAGAUCAACUACUCUUAAAUAAUAUAAUCAUAAUCAUUUUGGCUUUUAUUGUUCAUGUCAUUUUGUUGCUAUUGGCAUGUUACAUGAUAAACUAGUUGGAGAAAAACAUAAGCAAUAAAUGAUGAUUUUAGUUCUCAAGGAAGUUACAAGGGAACUUUAAUGCGAACAAAUGUUACAAGGUCAACUUUUCUCUUUAGGACAUGCUUUUUCUUUUUGCCGUAGAGUAUGCAAAACAUGUUUGGUUCAACAUUUUGGAUGUACCCUUCCUAAAAAGUUCUAUAGAAUGGAAAUGAUACCCAUACUUCCUAGGCUUAAACUUUGAGUGGAGAUGAGGUUUAGGUUGUAUGCUGUCCAAUUCUAAGAUAAUUUUAUUCAGAGCUAGUAUUUGAUUUGCAAUUAAAAUUGUCUAUAAUAUUUGUUUGGUUCAGCUCUAUAUGAUAUGUCGAAGACUGCUAGCUUUUAUUAUUAUUUUUGAUAAGUAAUCAAGAAGUUUUAUUCAUAAUAAUAGGCAAAUCCCAAGUACACAUGGAGUAUACAUGAGAAAUACUUAGCUAUAAUUUACAACUGAAAGAAGAAAGUCAUGGACAUUAAUUCCAUUACAAACAAUAGCCCCCACCCAAGAAAACAAUGUUUUAAA
Molecule: long non-coding RNA, 713 nt
Organism: Juglans microcarpa x Juglans regia
Lineage: Eukaryota; Viridiplantae; Streptophyta; Magnoliopsida; Fagales; Juglandaceae
Exons: 2
Source: RefSeq, a predicted model, not a curated record